RNAcentral lists this ribosomal RNA (819 nucleotides) under uncultured bacterium. Its description in RNAcentral is "bacterial SSU rRNA". It matches the Rfam family "Bacterial small subunit ribosomal RNA", at positions 637 to 1451 of the family's 1533-position model. The record is from RNAcentral.
CAGACUAGAGUNCAGUAGGGGAGACUGGAAUUCCUGGUGUAGCGGUGGAAUGCGCAGAUAUCAGGAGGAACACCGAUGGUGAAGGCAGGUCUCUGGGCUGUAACUGACGCUGAGAAGCGAAAGCAUGGGGAGCGAACAGGAUUAGAUACCCUGGUAGUCCAUGCCGUAAACGUUGGGCACUAGGUGUGGGGGACAUUCCACGUUUUCCGCGCCGUAGCUAACGCACUAAGUGCCCCGCCUGGGGAGUACGGCCGCAAGGCUAAAACUCAAAGAAAUUGACGGGGGCCCGCACAAGCGGCGGAGCAUGCGGAUUAAUUCGAUGCAACGCGAAGAACCUUACCAAGGCUUGACAUAUACUGGACCGCAUCAGAGAUGGUGUUUCCCUUCGGGGCUGGUAUACAGGUGGUGCAUGGUUGUCGUCAGCUCGUGUCGUGAGAUGUUGGGUUAAGUCCCGCAACGAGCGCAACCCUCGUUCUAUGUUGCCAGCACGUUAUGGUGGGGACUCAUAGGAGACUGCCGGGGUCAACUCGGAGGAAGGUGGGGAUGACAUCAAAUCAUCAUGCCCCUUAUGUCUUGGGCUUCACGCAUGCUACAAUGGCCGGUACAGAGGGUUGCGAUACUGUGAGGUGGAGCUAAUCCCUAAAAGCCGGUCUCAGUUCGGAUUGGGGUCUGCAACUCGACCCCAUGAAGUCGGAGUCGCUAGUAAUCGCAGAUCAGCAACGCUGCGGUGAAUACGUUCCCGGGCCUUGUACACACCGCCCGUCAAGUCACGAAAGUUGGUAACACCCAAAGCCGGUGGCCUAACCCUUUUGGGAGGGA